UCAAUCAAAGAAGCCAAUAAAAGGUAAUCUAAACAGAUAUGCUUCUUACAGUUGCAGAAAAUUUCUUAAUAUUGAUUUUACGUUUCUUAAUAUUGAUUUUACGGGCAGUUCUAGCAGGAAUAUUCUUCAUGCUAUGGCUUUUCUUUCCUUGUUUUUUGGACUUGUACGAAAACCUUCAGAGACUAAAGAGAACUGGUAGUCUUCAUAUGAAGAAAUGCAACAGAGAGAAAAAAGAACUUGAGCUAUAUUAAUCUCAACAACUUAACUGAUUACAAUGAUCUCUGUACAAGUAUAUAACUACAGUUAUCUUGUAAACUAAGCUGCUCUAACUACUGUACACGAGAUAAAAGCAGCUGCAACAAACUAACUUUCGCACCAAUCUUGACUUUUACUUUCUUCUGCUUUUCAUUAGUCAAAUGAUCUAAUACUUUAUGCAUUUUCUGGUUGUUAAAAAAAAAAGACCAUGUAGACAGGAUCAUCUAGGUUUCCUUUGGUGGAUUUUUUCGUUGUUCUUCUAGUAUGAAGGAUAAAUAAUUUUAAGAAUACCUUGUCUUGUCUCCUCAACCAUACAUUAGUCCAUGGAACUAAAACAAAUUACAUUAUCGCAUUUGCUUAAUUCACAACCACCACUACAGUAUAGUUUGUUAACUCUCUUUAGAUGCCUGAUUUAGAGUUUGUCAGUUUUAAAGAUGGAACUACAAAAAGAGGAGAUAAGGUGUUGACACGAAAACGAAGUGUGAAGAAAGAUGAUAAGGUACAAGAUGAUGCGCAACACGCAGUAGCAAACUUCAAUUUAACUCGCCCGCCAUCUAAUUUUGUUAAGAGGUCACCAAUACCAUCCCCAUCAAUCGCAAGAGGAAAUGCUAUUGAGUUGAGCAGUGAUCCAUCAACAACUACGGACAGUGACAAGGUGUUAGUAUUGCCAAGAAUAGAGGAAAUGAAACUCUCCGAGUUGAAAGAACUAGCAAAGUCAAGGGGACUUAAAGGUUACUCGAAGUUGAAGAAGAGUGAGCUUUUGGAAUUGUUAAGGUCCUAAAAGCCUAGAAAAAAAGAACACAAACUAGCGGCUUGAAGUUAAUGGAUUUCAGAAGCAAGAAAGAGGUGAGGAAUUGUAGUGUUUUUACAUUCAAAGUGUUUGAUUUUCACUCUAUUUUCUUUCUUUUAUAUUUUUAAUUUUAUAGCCUUCUAAUAGUAAUGCUUAUUGGAUUUACAACUCUAUAGUUGGGAAAUUGCUCUAAUCCCUAAAUUUCAUUGAGCAAUUGAACCUCCCUUUGUCAUGUAGAGUAAUUUAUUAAAAAAAAAUCAUUUUUUAGUAGCCAAAUGAGUUUGUUUUGGGUUUUAAUUUAUUGGUUUGACUAGUUUUAUGUGUUAAUCAUAUUUUUAUUUUUUGCUAUAUAAGGUUUUCUGAUUUCUUUAAUGGUCUCUUAGGUUUUAUGGUAUGGAUUUCUUGAUACAAGAUUAUGAAUUUCUUAUUCUUUUCGAGUUAAAAAUAAAAAAUAAAAAUCAAAUAUAAUUGUUUGAGAAUUUAAUUGAAUUUUUUUUUCUAACAAGUGAUUUAUUCUAAAGAAAGCUGAUAUAAAUUCAUUGGGAGCAGUUUUUGCCGUUGAUUAUGCAGGAAAUGUAAGUUUAUCUGUAGACUAGUACCUUCUCUAUGUAAAGGUAGGAUUAUGAGCAGACGUUGCAGAUCUGUUUACAAAUCUUGAGCUAUGUAAGUUUUUAUUAAAGCUUCAUCUGAUAUUAUAUGUCACAAUGAAGGGUUCAAUUAUUUGCGAAUUCUUAAGCGGAACUCGUGCACACUUGAAAACAUGGUGGACCAGUAUAAUUAGUAGGAUAUGUUGCAAGUUAAUAUUGAAGGUAGAGGUCGUUUGGGUUGUGGACAGAUAUAAAGUUUAGUAUAUUUUGAUAAAAUUAUUAUGAUUUUAUUAAAAGAUAUAUGCUUUCUCUACCUCAUAUGCGCGUGUAUUCUUAAUCAACUCAACUCAACUUAACUUAACUA
Molecule: unclassified non-coding RNA, 1996 nt
Filed under: Hevea brasiliensis (rubber tree)
Lineage: Eukaryota; Viridiplantae; Streptophyta; Magnoliopsida; Malpighiales; Euphorbiaceae
Source: RNAcentral